CUACGGGAGGCACCAGUCGAGAAUCAUCCGCAAUGGGCGAAAGCCUGACGGUGCAAUGCCGCGUGGGGGAUGAAGGCCCUCGGGUCGUAAACCCCUGUCAGGAGGGACGAAGAAGUGACGGUACCUCCAGAGGAAGCCACGGCUAACUACGUGCCAGCAGCCGCGGUAAUACGUAGGUGGCGAGCGUUAUUCGGAUUUACUGGGCGUAAAGGGUCCGCAGGGGGUUUGCCAAGUCUGGUGUGAAAUCUCACAGCUCAACCGUGAAACUGCGCGGGAUACUGGUGAACUAGAGUGCGCGAGGGGUGAGUGGAAUUCCUGGUGUAGCGGUGGAAUGCGUAGAUAUCAGGAAGAACACCAACGGCGAGGGCAGCUCACUGGCGCGCAACUGACCCUCAUGGACGAAAGCGUGGGUAGCAAACAGGAUUAGAUACCCCCGUAGUC
Molecule: ribosomal RNA, 441 nt
Filed under: uncultured bacterium
Lineage: Bacteria
Description: partial 16S ribosomal RNA
Rfam family: Bacterial small subunit ribosomal RNA
Source: RNAcentral